GCAGUGAAGAUCUGGAUAGCUCAGUUGGUUAGAGCUCAGUGCCGAUAAUGCCAAGGUUGCAGGUUCGAUUCCUGCAUGUGACAGCUGCA
Podarcis lilfordi (Lilford's wall lizard) is the source of this 89-nucleotide non-coding RNA. Lineage: Eukaryota; Metazoa; Chordata; Lepidosauria; Squamata; Lacertidae. The record is from the annotation of a GenBank genome assembly.